Long non-coding RNA from Perca fluviatilis (European perch), 386 nucleotides. RefSeq lists it as uncharacterized. The transcript has 2 exons. The record is from RefSeq and is a predicted model, not a curated record. Lineage: Eukaryota; Metazoa; Chordata; Actinopteri; Perciformes; Percidae.
UCCAAGAUGGACGCUACCGUCGAACUUAUCGGCAGCAAUGACCCAAAAAUGUAUAAAUUAUGGACAUGAAGUGGAUAAAUCUGGGAUGUAAAAGUUUGGAUUUAUUGCUCAACGACCCCGAAAAAAAGGCACAACUUCCAGGCUGUAUAGAAAACCUGUAAAGGCUAGAAAGACACCACAGACACCACCGAGACGGCCGGAUUGUUAGCUCUUUUCGCUAUAAAAUGAUUAAAAUGUGUGUCGCGGGGGGGUCACGACGUGCUGGUUCGUGCUCACCUGGCGCUGAGGCCGACGGCGUCACCAUGGUGACGGUUCACCUGCGGUUCCUCAUGAAUAUUCUUCUGUCAAAUCUUCAAUAAAUUCUGACUGUCAAAGUCCAUAAAGUC